CUGCUUUGGCAGCACAUUUACUAAAAUUAGAAUGAAUCAGAGAAAAUUAUCAUGGGCUGUGUGCAAAGAUGACAUGCAAAUUUGUGAAGCAUUUCAUAUUUUU
Molecule: small nuclear RNA, 103 nt
Organism: Phacochoerus africanus (Common warthog)
Lineage: Eukaryota; Metazoa; Chordata; Mammalia; Artiodactyla; Suidae
Source: RefSeq, a predicted model, not a curated record